Molecule: non-coding RNA, 125 nt
Filed under: Paramoeba aestuarina
Lineage: Eukaryota; Discosea; Flabellinia; Dactylopodida; Paramoebidae
Source: RNAcentral
GUCUCUUCUUUCUUCUUUCUUCUCUUUUCUUCUUUCUUCUCUUUCUCUUUCUUUCUCUUUCUCUUCCUUCUUCCAAAUGGAUAACAACCAAUUGUUAGCUGGUUUAAAUGCCAAAAAAUUGAAGA